AUUGAACGCUGGCGGCAUGCUUUACACAUGCAAGUCGAACGGUAACAGGCUUUGGGGUGCUGACGAGUGGUGAAGAGGGGCGUACUGCAUCGGAAUGUAUCCAGAGGUGGGGGUUAGUGGGGGGUAACCUGUGGUAAUAUACCCUGUGACCUGAGGCUAACAACGGGGGAACGCGGGGCAUCUUUUGGCCUUGCGCGUUUGGAGGAGCCGAUGUCGGAUUAGCUAGUUGGUGGGGUAAAGGCCUACCAAGGCGACGAUCCGUAGCUGGUCUGAGAGGACGACCAGCCACACUGGGACUGAGACACGGCCCAGACUCCUACGGGAGGCAGCAGUGGGGAAUUUUGGACAAUGGGCGCAAGCCUGAUCCAGCAAUACCGCGUGCGUGAAGAAGGCCUUCGGGUUGUAAACCGCUUUUGGCAGGAACGAAACGCUGUCCGCUAAUACCGCGCGCUAAUGACGGUACCUGCAGAAUAAGCACCGGCUAACUUCGUG
RNAcentral lists this ribosomal RNA (492 nucleotides) under uncultured bacterium. RNAcentral describes it as "partial 16S ribosomal RNA". It matches the Rfam family "Bacterial small subunit ribosomal RNA", at positions 30 to 507 of the family's 1533-position model. The record is from RNAcentral.